AUGAAGUGCUUUAUUGCCUUAUGGCAAACGAGCUGGGCUGGGGGGGGGGCGCGGGGCCAGGGUCCCCAUGGGGCCACCCCGCUGCCCCUUCGUGCACCAGGGGGCUGGGGUGGGGGUUUGGGGGCUUCUUGCUGCCCUGUGGGGAGCCCCUGGAGCCCCACUUUUCCCCCAUAUGAACCCCGUUUGUUUCCCCACGGGAAGCCCACAGCCACCCCCCUGGAACCCCAUUGCCUCCCCGCUGCUGCCCCAUGGGAACUCUCCUGCUGUCCCACAAAAAUCCCGUUGCUCCCCCCGCAGAUUCCCCAUUGGAACCCCCCAGACCCCCCUGGGGACCCCUCUGCUGCCCCACAGCCCUCGGUGCCGACCCCAAGGCGCCGUCCCACGGCUCUCCGAGGGCUGAUCCUGGCAGGACCCUGCUUUAGGGGUCCCCACAGUCCCCCUGAGCCCCCCAAAGCAAUCACACCUGCAGGACCCCGGUGCCCCCAGGAGCCCCGAGCCCCCUCCAGCGCCUUGGGGCCGGGGUCUCCAUCUCCCCCCCACCUGCCCUGCCCCGAGGCCGCCGCCGUUUGUGUGAGAACCUCGGCGCCUUUCAGGGCCCUCGGCCCCUCAAAGGGGGCAGCCAGGCAGAAAGACAAAGGCUCGGCGCGCCUGGGGGGCACGGGGGGGCCGGGCACGGCCGGCGGGCACGGAGCGAGGGGCCGCAGCAAGGUGCAGAGGCUGCAAGGAGCGAGUGUGCAACGGCGCUGUGCAUGCACGGGAGUGUGCAUGGGUGUGCAAAUGCAUGCACAGGAACGCGUGCAUGUGUGGACAAGUGUGCAUGCACCAGAUGCUUGCUUGCACCGAGUGUGUGUGCGUGCACAGGAACAUGUGCACGUGUNNNNNNNNNNGUGUGUGUGCAUGCGUGCACGUGUGUGUGUGUGCGCAUGCACUGGAUGCUUGCUUGCACAGCAGUGCAUACACAUGAGUGUGUGCAUGUGUGUGCACCAACUUUACCUCUUGCACAGGUGUGCACAGCCCAGCAGUGUGCAUGCACAGGAGCUGCAAACAUGAGCGCAGGCCAUGUUCACGUGCACACUCGUGUGUGUGCAUGAGUGCAUGCACCAGAUGCUUGCACAGGAGCACAUGCACGUGUAUGUGCAUGCACCAGAUGCUUGCUUGCACAGCAGUGCAUGCACAUGAGUGUGUGCACGUGUGUGCACCAACUUUACCUCUUGCACAGGUGUGCACAGCCCAGCAGUGUGCAUGCACAGGAGCUGCAAACAUGAGCGCAGGCCAUGUUCACGUGCACACUCGUGUGUGUGCAUGCGUGCACGGGUGUGUGUGUGUGCAUGCACUGGAUGCUUGCUUGCACAGGAGUGCAUGCACAUGAGUGUGUGCACGUGUGUGCACCAACUUUACCACUGCACGGGUGUGCACAGCCCAGCACUGAGUGUGCACAGGAGCUGCAAACACGAGCAUAGACCAUGUCCUUGUGCACACCCAUGUGUGUGCAUGCAUGCACGGGUGUGUGUGUGUGCACGGGUGUGUGCAUGCACGGGUGUGUGUGCCCUUGCACAUGCAGCCGCGUGCACCCUCCCCGAGCGCGCCCAUGCCAGGCUCCGUGCAUUUCGGCUCAGCCUUCGCACCCCAGCCCCCUCCUCCUCCUCCUCCUCCUCCCCUCGCUGCCCUUUGCACAAAGGCCUGGGCUGCAGAUGUGCGGCCGCUGCUCUCCCCCCACGGGGGGGGGGGUCCCAGGGUGCCCCCGUUCCCCCCACCCAUGGGCGAGCCGGGAGCUGGCGGCGCCUCUGCCCUCGUUAUUUCCUCUUCAUUUCUGGGGCUGUCAGAAUUACGGAGCAGGGCUGUUUAUUGGCUUGAGUUUAAUUAAUUUGUGUAAUAUCCCUGUUAGGAACAAUGUCUAAUUAAGACUUUUGUUUGUGUGUGCGCGCCGGGGGGAGGGGACUUCUUCUUUGGGAAAGAGGGGGAAAAAAAAAAAUAAAAAAAAAAAAUAGAAAAACCAAAUUCCCUAAUCAUUAAUGGAGGGGAAAGAAAUAUUUAAACGGGGCUGGCACCCUUCCACCGAGCUGCUGGUAAGCGCUCUCGUUACAGAUGUCUUAAUGAGACAUCUCUUAAUAAUGGGAUUAUCAUUCACAUUGAAUCGGGACGAGCAGCUGGGAGCGCCAGCCUCCGAUACGGGGCCCCGAGAGGAUGGGGCAGAGCGGCCCCGUGCUGAGGGAUGGGGAUGGGACCCCCCCAGUGCCACGGGGCAGGACCCCCCCCCUCGAAUUUAUCCUGGUGCUGGGUAAAUCCAGCAUGUUUUGGGGUGCUGGGCUCACCCCCUGGCAAAGGGGGGGUUCGGUGGAAACCUCGACUGGGGCGCGGUGACCCCUUUGAAACCACAAGGGUUUUUUUUUUUUUUGGGGGGGGGCACCCUUGUUGUCCCCCCCACCUCAUGGCCCCUCGCUCCCUUCCCCCUCCGCUCCAGAAAAUAGGGGCAGGAAUCUCAGCCCACCCCGACCCCGUGGCCACCACCAAAAAAUUUGGGGUCCUGGGUGGGGAAUGGGUUGGGAUGGGGGGGGUCUGCAGGGCACCCACCCCCCCCACCAGCACCCCCGGGGCGGUGACACCAGGGGGUCCCGUGGGGUUUCGUGCCCACCAAGGCCAGCUUGGCCAAAUGGGGUUGACCCCAGUGCCGGGGUCCCCAUGGGGUGGCAACAUGGGAACACCGUGGGGGCCGCCCUGGAGCCCCCCCCUCGCCGCCGGCCCCUGCGAGUCCCGCAAAGGAGAAGCUGGAGCAGCCCUGGCUGCGCUCCUGCGGUCAGAGCCCAGCAAUGAUCCUACAAGCCUGGAAUUUGAGGAAUUUCCUGCCAAGGCUCUCUGGAAGAAGAGGGAGAGAAAGGAAACCCGGCCUUAACCCUCAGCUCCCCGCGCCCGGCCCCGAAUCCCCGAUCCCACAACGGGCAGGGGCUGGCACGGGGCGGAGAGGGGGGGCUGCAGGCACUUUUUGGGGUGCCCCUGGAUUUUUUGGGGUGCUCCCCGUUCGCUUUGGCCACGCUGCGUGCAGAGCCCUGGCCCCACAGCCCUCCCCGAGGCCCCGUGCCUCAGUUUCCCCCAAAUCUCUGCCAAAAAUCCCUGGNNNNNNNNNNCCCCGCCGUGCCCCCCACCCCAUCCCCA
This 3150-nucleotide long non-coding RNA is filed under the name Anas zonorhyncha (Eastern spot-billed duck). RNAcentral's name for it is "lncRNA (ENSAZOG00000001417.1)". Lineage: Eukaryota; Metazoa; Chordata; Aves; Anseriformes; Anatidae. The record is from RNAcentral.